This is a long non-coding RNA of Mus musculus (house mouse), 3350 nucleotides long. RefSeq annotates it as predicted gene, 42054. NCBI's taxonomy places the organism in Eukaryota, Metazoa, Chordata, Mammalia, Rodentia, Muridae. The record is from RefSeq and is a predicted model, not a curated record. The transcript is spliced from 6 exons.
CUUUACCAUCUCCAGCUUCACAGCUGCACUGGGGGCUCAGACAACUUGACUGUGGACCAGAUCACCUGUGUUUCUGGUCGUAGGGACUCAGGAUGGAGGAGCUGCAGCUCCACAAGAAAGAUGAGGCAGUCUAAACUGUUUACCUCUAACGACUAUGUGGGACCUUGUUAUGCCCCAGACUGGACAAAAUGGGUCCUGGCUUGGGGUGCAGACGGACUUUAACUACCUAUACCCAUAGCUGGCAAUGCUUUGCCUCACAGGGGAGCCUUAUUCCAGGUCCAGAAAACAAAGCUGACACAAACUUUCAUCGCUGCACCUGCCUCUAGCUCUGAAAGAACUAAGUAAGGUCAGGUUUGUAUACAAAGUAGCCCAGGGCUAGUGCCCUGCCCAGUCAGAGCUGCUCAGGUUACUACAGCUUUGUGUUCUACAAGAAAGCAACCAGGCUCGCUGCCUUCCUGGUUUCAAGUUCUAAACAGCUUGUCAGAUUCAAGCGUUGGAAAAGCACAGCUGCAGCAAGCGCAGGCAGGCUUUUCCUGCACUCUUCCCAUGAUGCUCUGAAAGCUGUCUCUCGGUGAUACAGCACCAAGCCACCACCACACACUCUGGGCAGGAUGGAGCUGACAGCAUAGUCUUUUCCUACUCUUACCAAAGCCCUCACAGGAACCGGACAAGACUGUCUACUGCACAAGCUUGAUGCAUUUAGGCAAACACUGUACACCGAGCUGACGUCCCAGCCCCUCCCCCCAAGCUAUCCUUGCUACAGGUGACAAGACAGUAAAGGCAGGUGGCCCCACUUCUGCAGUAAAGUCUGGGUGCUUCAGAGAGACCUGAAGGAGACCCUUGAAGACUGGCUUUCCAGAGAAGCCAAGUGGAAUGGAAAGACAAGAGAGAAGUUCAGAGUCUUAGCAAGCUGAUUCAGUGCCUAUGUAACACGCACAAAGCCCCGGGCUCCGUCUGCAGCACUAUACGAACUUGAUACGGUGGUGUUGUCUGUAAUUCCAGUAUUUAGGGAUGGAAGCAGGAAGAUCAGGAGUUCACGGUCAUCCUAAGCUUCACCUGAGUUCAAGGUCAGCCAGAGCUGCAUGACAAAACCCCACUAACUAUCGGAUAGCUUACAGAAUUCAAGUUUGAAGCCUCGUCUGGUGACACAAGACUGCAAUCCCAGCUAUGCAAGAGGCAGGGGUUAAAGGCUCCUGCGGUGAAGACACUUGGGAUCAGCGUGAGCCUGGCAGGUACUGAAGGCAGGAGGAGGCAUGAGCUGCAGACGUGGAUUAAAUCCGUUGUUUAUAAUUGAGUUCACUUCCCAUCGCGUACCCUCUUCAGAAGCCAGCAUGGCCUAUGAAAGUCUCCCUCUCUGCUGAGGUCAGCGAUGGGCUUCUAUUCAGAGGCUUCAAGCGUGUGCUGCGUUUUCUUGCUUCGAAGCGGGUCUGAUGCUCUUCUUGUUGCUAUGACAACUGACACAAGCAACUUGAGGAAGGAAGAGCUUAUUUCAGCUCACAGUUUGAAGGGUCGAUCCGCUACAGCGGGGAAGGCAUGGUGGAAGAAGCAUGGGACAGUGAAGUGGAAGUUUCAGGUUGUGUCACGUGAUGCAGAUUCGCGUGAUGUUUUGCCAAGGUAAGACCUGUGGGAGAAUGCAUACUGUUUGGAAAGAGUAUAAGUAUGACUCAACAGACAGUAAUGGGGUGCUUGCAUAGCUAGCCUUGCAAUGCUUUGUUGGUCUCCAGUCUUCGCUGAGCAGAGAAGCAUGGCAGAGAACUUCUCUGUGCAGCCCAGGUCUGGUCGCUCCCACUGACUCCUGCUGAUUCACAGAGGCUUGAUAGCUUCUGCUGGAUCAUGGUGCCGCUGUUGAUCCGUGUUUGGUAUCCUGACACUGCUGAAGUGAGCUGCUGGUAUCCUGACAACGAAGGUUGGAACCACCCCCAAAGAACUACUUCUAAAUAGUCCUAUUUACCAUCUUUUCUCCCCUAGCUUUAGAUGGUGGGCUAAAAGGAGGGUCAAAGCAUUUGAGAACCCCCUAUUAAAGAAGGUUUUGAAAAAAAUCUAAGCCCAAAGGGCAGCUGGUCAGAACGUCUCUGCAGACACGAAGCAGAGACGAGUGCUGGCUCUUGGCUUGCUCUCUCCUUUUGCUUCCUGGGCAUCAGAUCGUGGAAUGGUGUCAUUCAUGGUUAGGGUGGGGCUUCCCUCCUCAGUAAACUCACUUUAGAAACUUCCUCCCCAGAGGCUGGUCUCCUAGGUGCUUCUAGAUCCUGUCAAGUUGGCCAUCAAUAGAAAUCACCAUAAGGCAUUUGCUCCUAUAUCCAAUAUGGGUCAGCUACUCAAUAGCUCUCUGUGGAGCAAAUAGUUUCCAGAAUGAAUGAAUGAAUGAAUGAAUGGUGGAAGCAUGCCUGAAGACCUCCUUCCUCAUCUCACAGAUAGAGCAUGCUUCCUCUUCCUCCAGGUUUUAUCAUCUCUUCCUCGUACGGCUAGGUUAACUAACCGGGACAGUCUAUAUUCUAGGGGCUUUUCCAGCAUGCUGCAUCACGACUGAGCUAUCUGUUCCACAACUGCUUGCUGCAGAACCAUUCUCCCCUUAAGUACCAUGAGGAGUGUGGACAAUGCUCUAGAGCUACAGCGAGCUUGGCCUCACAGUAUCUGCAAGGGGUCUCUUUAGCAACGGGAAUGGGAGUGGAAUUGAUUUCCCAUCAGCCCUGGUUGCACUGGAGGCUGCUAUAUGGAGCUGAUGAUGAGACCAACCUGCAGAGGCAAAACUCACUUCCAGCCCAUGGGCCAGACAGGAGCGUCACCAGGACAGUUCAGUUUGUUCUGCACUGGUGGUGAGAUAUAACUCCCAGGUCUGCCUGUAGGGUCUCUCUGGAGAAGCCCCUGAGCUGGAGGACUGAGGGAAGAAACUUACCCUCAUUGAUAUGGUAGUGUCUAGCUCCCAGGGCCCAGCUGGAACACAAAGGGAAAAGUGGGGUAAACAUACUUUCUGUGCUGGAGCUGGGGCCCCUGGUGUGACCUCCUGGCACAGGCAGCACUGGCACCCUGGUCACCAGCCCCCACAUCACACAUUCUCUGGGCUUCCACCCUGAGAAGGAUGUGGAGGGGCUUCUUAGCCUCUGUCCUUGUGAGCCAGCCCCUGUGACAGAGUCCUUCCGCAAACCUAUGCAUUUCUCUUGCUCAUUGCUUCUCUGAAAAAUUCUUUUGAUGAAUGUGGUCACUUGGUCCAAGGCCCAGCUUUCCCACCAGAACCUCCUGGUCUCUUCUUCUGUCAGAGCAAGUUCUGGUCAGUCUUGCGUGCGCUCGACUGGCCAGGAAGAACGACGCUGCAACAGGAUCCUUCUGCACACGUUUAUUGGGAGAGCUUGAUU